This 285-nucleotide ribosomal RNA is filed under the name uncultured bacterium. RNAcentral describes it as "partial 16S ribosomal RNA". It matches the Rfam family "Bacterial small subunit ribosomal RNA", at positions 335 to 638 of the family's 1533-position model. The record is from RNAcentral.
ACUCCUACGGGAGGCAGCAGUGGGGAAUAUUGGACAAUGGGGCAACCCGUGAUCCAGCCAUGCCGCGUGAGUGAUGAAGGCCCUAGGGUUGUAAAGCUCUUUUGUGCGGGAAGAUAAUGACGGUACCGCAAGAAUAAGCCCCGCAGCUUACGUGCCAGCAGCCGCGGUAAUACGAAGGGGCGUAGCGUUGCUCGGAAUCACUGGGCGUAAAGGGUGCGUAGGCGGGUUUUUAAGUCAGGGGUGAAAUCCUGGAGCUCAACUCCAGAACUGCCUUUGAUACUGAAA